UACGUAGGGGGCAAGCGUUGUCCGGAUUCAUUGGGCGUAAAGAGCUCGUAGGCGGUUCAGUAAGUCGGGUGUGAAAGCUCCGAGCUCAACUCGGAGAGGCCACCCGAUACUGCUGUGACUUGAGUCCAGUUAGAGGAGCGUGGAAUUCCUGGUGUAGCGGUGAAAUGCGCAGAUAUCAGGAGGAACACCAGCAGCGAAGGCGGCGCUCUGGGCUGGAACUGACGCUGAGGAGCGAAAGCGUGGGUAGCAAACAGG
This 255-nucleotide ribosomal RNA is filed under the name uncultured bacterium. RNAcentral's name for it is "partial 16S ribosomal RNA". It matches the Rfam family "Bacterial small subunit ribosomal RNA", at positions 524 to 776 of the family's 1533-position model. The record is from RNAcentral.